GCGUUCCUACGGGAGGCAGCAGUGAGGAAUAUUGGUCAAUGGGCGCGAGCCUGAACCAGCCACGUCGCGUGAGGGAUGACGGCCCUACGGGUUGUAAACCUCUUUUGCCGGGGAGCAACGGGCGCCACGUGUGGCGCCACUGAGAGUACCCGGAGAAAAAGCAUCGGCUAACUCCGUGCCAGCAGCCGCGGUAAUACGGAGGAUGCGAGCGUUAUCAGGAUUUUUUGGGUGUCAAGGGUGCGUAGGCGGCGCGUUAAGUCAGUGGUCAAAUUGAGGGGCUCAAC
RNAcentral lists this ribosomal RNA (284 nucleotides) under uncultured bacterium. RNAcentral's name for it is "partial 16S ribosomal RNA". It matches the Rfam family "Bacterial small subunit ribosomal RNA", at positions 333 to 613 of the family's 1533-position model. The record is from RNAcentral.